GACAGAGGUCCCGAGCGUUAGGCGGAAUCACUGGGCUUAAAGCGUGUGUAGGCGGAUCGUUAAGUACCUUGUGAAAUCCCACGGCUUAACCGUGGAACUGCUUGGUAUACUGGCGAUCUUGAGCCACUUAGGGGCUACCGGAACAAAUGGUGGAGCGGUGAAAUGCGUAGAUAUCAUCAGGAAUACCGGAGGCGAAGGCGGCUCACUGGGGCUUUUCUGACGCUGAGGAACGAAAGCCAGGGUAGCGAACGGG
RNAcentral lists this ribosomal RNA (253 nucleotides) under uncultured bacterium. RNAcentral's name for it is "partial 16S ribosomal RNA". It matches the Rfam family "Bacterial small subunit ribosomal RNA", at positions 524 to 776 of the family's 1533-position model. The record is from RNAcentral.